CUCCUGAAUUCAAGUCGCUUUUUUAGUUACAAACGAAAGACGUAGUAAAAACAAAUUGUAACGGCUGUUUAAUAUUUAAAAUUAAAGAAAAUAUUAAUAAUUUAUAAAGUAAAUAAAAUAUCAAGAAAAAAACAAAAGAAGAAAUAUAAAAAAAAUUUGCUGAAAUUUUUUAAAACAAAAAGAAAUUUAUAAAAAAAAGAAAAAUAAAUAAAAUUUCCUUAAAUGACCACUUUAAAUGUUUAGAUUUCUGGAUAAUAGUUUUAUAUGUUAUUGAGUUUCAAACAACAACAAAAACAACAAGAUUCAGUAAGAGAAAUCACUGAGCUGUGACACAGAUAGAAACGUGCAAAGUGUUGCUAACACAUAAUUUAUAAAACCAAAAAAGAAAAAUAAGAGCAUAAAAAAACACAUAGGCAUAAAUACAAACAUAUAAAUAAAUAUAAAAAAUGGCAACAACAAGUGAAAUAAAUAUAUAAAAAUUAUAUUCUAAUAUAAAAGAGUAUAUAAAUAAAUAUGUAACAUUAUAUGGUGUUUACAAAAAGAAUUUAAAUAAAAUAACACAACUCUAACUCAUAGAAAUCGCAAAGCAUACAAAUUAUGAUUGUAUUUGUGUAUGUGUAGAAACAUUUCAAAGGUGUGUUAUAAUAACAAAAUAGAAAAAAAGAAAAACAAGAAUACGACAGACUGACAGACAAACUUAAAAUCAUUUGUUGAAAAGUUAACAAGAUCACCAUCAUGUUGCUGCUGCUUCUGUUAAUGGUGAUGAUGCUGUACUAAACACCAGACAAUAUACAAGACUUUCAGAGUUUUUAAACAGGAUUAAAAUUGCAAUGCAUAAAGUAAACAACUACGAUUAGUGGGAAGAAAGUAUGCUUAAUAUUUAUUUAUCUGCUUUAAAAUAUAAACGAGGAUAAACAUGUUGAAUGUUAAAUAUUUGUAUGCAUCCAUUUCCAAUUGAUAGUCACCAAAAGGGGUAAUAAAGAGAGACUGGGAUGAAAAACCGCAAUAAAAAGAUUUGAUUUUUAAAUAGGCAG
Long non-coding RNA from Lucilia sericata (common green bottle fly), 1034 nucleotides. RefSeq lists it as uncharacterized. NCBI's taxonomy places the organism in Eukaryota, Metazoa, Arthropoda, Insecta, Diptera, Calliphoridae. The record is from RefSeq and is a predicted model, not a curated record. The transcript is spliced from 3 exons.